Long non-coding RNA from Cervus elaphus (red deer), 1147 nucleotides. RefSeq lists it as uncharacterized. The record is from RefSeq and is a predicted model, not a curated record. Lineage: Eukaryota; Metazoa; Chordata; Mammalia; Artiodactyla; Cervidae. The transcript is spliced from 3 exons.
CUAAGCUGUUAAAGGAAACCUUUCCUUACGAUGCACUAAGCCCCACCUCGAGCCUCUGUUGCUGUCUUCUGUUCUAGGGGCAGCAACGCUCAAAUGACUGGUUUCCUCUUAUUGAGAAACACAGCAGGAUGAAUAAUAGAAGAUCCUGGAUAAAGCUGUGCUAGGAAACAAGGAACGGCAAAGACCCAGCGAUAAGAGCAACCCACCAACUGCCAGGCCACGGAAGGCGAGAAUGCGACGCUGCCCUCUGGAGCCCCCAAAGAGGCAACCCAAUCUGUGGUUGACAGCAAUGGGCAAUGAGAAGACAUCGCUUUACGUGGUUGAGUCUGAAUCAACCCCAGUAGGAAGGGCUGUUGGCUAUUUGACCACAGUGGUUUUUCUAUGGUGAACAAAAACUAGAAUAAUGUGGAAAAUGCCAAUGAGAAGAAAUCCAGAAAAAGCUACAGACGGAACUUUUGACUUCGGAGAAGAAUGUUGGGAAUUGCCAGCAACAUAUCUGGGAAAUGGGCCACCUGGUUUUGACGCCUCAGACACAACAAAUGCUUGGGAGGACUUAGACUGGCCGACCUAAACCAGAACCAGACCGUUCACACGGGAACCAGCCUGGCUGCCGCUCCUGUGAGCUGCACUGGCUUGCGGCAGCGGCAGGGAAACAUUCUGCAGAGCUGAGUGAGGGCUCAGAGGAAACUUCACGAUGGUCAGGAAUGUACUGUUCUUUGAGCUAUUUCCUUUAACAACUUGGAAGAAAUAAUAAUUAAUAUAAACAGUAGUCACCAGAUUUGGACUUACUGCAGGAGAAAUAAGAGAACACGAUUUGCAAAGAUUCAGGUUCAAGGCAGAGUUCUUUCUCUACUGUCCUGGGGGGAUGGAGCGAAGUCAGCAAAACUCUCUGAGCCUCAGUUUCCCCUUCUGCCACAUUAGCAGAUACCUGCCUUGUAGGGCAGUAAUAGACUCAGGUGCCCCACAAGCAUAGAAAUCACACCAUGGGCUUCCUUACUAUUCUUAUUAGUUCUAUAAUCUGCAAACUAGGUGGUCCUCAAUAAAUGAGAAGAAAGUCACAAAGAGUUUAAUUCAUUAAAUUUAUCAUAUUUUCAAGAAACAUUAAAAUCCUUCCAGAAUAUACAAAAAAGAUGAAAAAAACACCAUG